Polypterus senegalus (gray bichir) is the source of this 1506-nucleotide long non-coding RNA. RefSeq lists it as uncharacterized. The transcript has 3 exons. Lineage: Eukaryota; Metazoa; Chordata; Cladistia; Polypteriformes; Polypteridae. The record is from RefSeq and is a predicted model, not a curated record.
AUAAGUGCCAAAAUCAAGAGUAAGAAAAAUAAUAAACAUGGCAAUAUCGAUUGCAAUACCGCACUCACCUUUUUUGUUGGUAAUAUACUCUUUAUACUCCUGCACUUAUUAAAAGGACGAUUCCGAAAUUCUGUGACAACCCAAUUGAACAGUUAAUAUUUACAUGGACAUUUUCGAAUAAAUUAGCACAAAAAUGUAACAUUUAGCAAACGUGAACAGAAAGGGUAUUUUAGGGGAGCGUGGUUGUUUAACGUGUCUUUCUUUUAAAGUGACUGCUGGUAAAAGUUGCUGGAUUUGUCUGUGAGCUGAACUCGCUGUCCAUUACAGACCCCUUUGUUUCGCCUUAACAAUUGCUCUUUAUUUCCGUGCUGUACUUGGCAUCGUUUAGCUGCCUGACUCCAAACUUAACCACCCCGGUUCUUCUACUUAAAGCACUCAAAUCGCCCUCUUCUACAAAUAUAUUGUCAAAGAGAUGGACUUCACCACAUUCUGAAACAGCAAGACCAGGGGAUUUUUUCUAUAGUCUGCUCAGUAUUGCACGGCAACAUCACUAGAGGAUAAAGUGCUUCAAUAAGAACUAAAGUGACGGACAAAAAAGUGUCGCAUGUCUAACGCUCUGCCAAUCAGACUUUUCUUCUUUUCUGAGCAACUCAUAUUGUUUAAGAUAAAGGAAAAAGACUGUAUGCCCGACGAUUUUAAAAAAUGAGUUACAGAGUACAUUUGGCUACUUAAGAAGAACGAGGUGAUGUUUUGAAUUUUUGGAACCUGGGCAUCCAAAGGUUCACUGCAAGAUGGAUUUUAUCCUGGCAGCUUUGGACACAAAACAUGAAUUUCACAUGGACUGAAUGCUAGGCCAUCGCAGGAGGAAGUGGCAAGAUGGAAAAAAGACGAUGCAACCUCCAUAAAAAUACCAUUGGAGCUGAACCUUGAUUAAAGCACUGUGAAACAACAUGUCUUCCCAUUAUACCAGUGAAAGGAAAUCUACAAAAAUAAAUUAACAAAAGCUAAUGAUGGCUUAUAAAACAAGAACUGAGAGCAUCAUCAUCAACAUCUAUUCAGAACUACACUCUUUGCGUCUAUGUUUUGUGAUACCAUUUGUGUAAUACUGCUACAAAACCCAGUUAUACAACUGCUGGUGAACACUCAUUAAAGCUUUUGUCUCCCUCCCUAUAAAACCCUUUUGCUUGUGUCUGUUCUAAACAUUUGAUCUGCUUUGAUAUUAAAUGCAACAGAAGACUCAUUGGCUUCCUUUGACUUUUAAUUACUUCCCCUUUAUGUAUAGGUCUCCAUGAUUUCUGCUAUUUAGUGUGAUAGCAAAGCCACAUAAUAUUAACUUAGUCUAUUUGCCUUAAGCCAUUUCUUAUCAAAAUAAUCUGGUAUUUCUUGUACUCUGUUGUAUUAAUUUCUUCUCUAGCUAUUAUAAAUAAGACUCUGAAAUAAAGACAAAAAAGCUGGGGCACCAUAGUGAUCAGGCCUUUAAUGACCUCUUAGGCACAGCCAUCAGCA